Molecule: ribosomal RNA, 2838 nt
Filed under: Triticum aestivum (bread wheat)
Lineage: Eukaryota; Viridiplantae; Streptophyta; Magnoliopsida; Poales; Poaceae
Description: partial small subunit ribosomal RNA
Source: RNAcentral
AUGGCGCCAGCGGUGGCCGGAGGAGGCCGCGUGCGGAGCAAUGAGCCGGCUGCUGCCGCGGCGCCGGCGGCCGCCAGCGGGAAGCCCUGCGUCUGCGGCUUCCAGGUGUGCGCCUGCACGGGAUCGGCCGCGGUGGCGUCCGCCGCCUCCUCGCUGGACAUGGACAUCGUGGCCAUGGGCCAGAUCGGCGCCGUCAACGACGAGAGCUGGGUGGGCGUGGAGCUCGGCGAAGACGGCGAGACCGACGAAAGCGGUGUCGCCGUUGACGACCGCCCCGUCUUCCGCACCGAGAAAAUCAAGGGUGUCCUUCUCCACCCCUACCGGGUGCUGAUCUUCGUUCGGCUGAUCGCCUUCACCCUGUUCGUGAUCUGGCGUAUCUCCCACAAGAACCCUGACGCCAUGUGGCUGUGGGUGACAUCCAUCUGCGGCGAGUUCUGGUUCGGCUUCUCCUGGCUGCUGGAUCAGCUGCCCAAGCUGAACCCCAUCAACCGCGUGCCGGACCUGGCCGUGCUGCGGCAGCGCUUCGACCGCCCCGACGGCACCUCCACCCUCCCGGGGCUCGACAUCUUCGUCACCACGGCCGACCCCAUCAAGGAGCCCAUCCUCUCCACCGCCAACUCCGUGCUCUCCAUCCUCGCCGCCGACUACCCCGUCGACCGCAACACAUGCUACGUCUCUGACGACAGUGGCAUGCUGCUCACCUACGAGGCCCUGGCCGAGUCCUCCAAGUUCGCCACCCUCUGGGUGCCCUUCUGCCGCAAGCACGGGAUCGAGCCCAGGGGCCCGGAGAGCUACUUCGAGCUCAAGUCCCACCCCUACAUGGGGAGAGCCCAGGACGAAUUCGUCAACGACCGCCGCCGCGUCCGCAAGGAGUACGACGAGUUCAAGGCCAGAAUCAACAGCCUGGAGCACGACAUCAAGCAGCGCAACGACGGGUACAACGCCGCCAACGCCCACCGGGAAGGCGAGCCCCGACCCACCUGGAUGGCCGACGGCACCCAGUGGCAGGGCACCUGGGUGGACGCCUCCGAGAACCACCGCAGGGGCGACCACGCCGGCAUCGUCCUGGUGCUGCUGAACCACCCGAGCCACCGCCGGCAGACGGGCCCGCCGGCGAGCGCUGACAACCCACUGGACUUCAGCGGCGUGGAUGUGCGUCUCCCCAUGCUGGUGUACGUGUCCCGUGAGAAGCGCCCCGGACACGACCACCAGAAGAAGGCCGGCGCCAUGAACGCGCUCACCCGCGCCUCCGCGCUGCUCUCCAACUCCCCCUUCAUCCUCAACCUCGACUGCGACCAUUACAUCAACAACUCCCAGGCCCUCCGCGCCGGCAUCUGCUUCAUGGUGGGACGCGACAGCGACACCGUCGCCUUCGUCCAGUUCCCGCAGCGCUUCGAGGGCGUCGACCCCACCGACCUCUACGCCAACCACAACCGCAUCUUCUUCGACGGCACCCUCCGUGCCCUCGACGGCAUGCAGGGCCCCAUCUACGUCGGCACCGGCUGUCUCUUCCGCCGCAUCACCGUCUACGGCUUCGACCCGCCCAGGAUCAACGUCGGCGGGCCCUGCUUCCCCAGGCUCGCCGGGCUCUUCGCCAAGACCAAGUACGAGAAGCCCGGCCUCGAGAUGACCAUGGCCAAGGCCAAGGCCGCGCCGGUGCCCGCCAAGGGCAAGCACGGCUUCCUGCCUCUGCCCAAGAAGACGUACGGCAAGUCGGACGCCUUCGUGGACAGCAUCCCGCGCGCGUCGCACCCGUCGCCUUACGCCGCGGCGGCUGAGGGCAUCGUGGCCGACGAGGCGACCAUCGUGGAGGCGGUGAACGUGACGGCCGCGGCGUUCGAGAAGAAGACCGGCUGGGGCAAAGAGAUCGGCUGGGUGUACGACACCGUGACGGAGGACGUGGUGACCGGGUACCGGAUGCAUAUCAAGGGGUGGCGGUCACGCUACUGCUCCAUCUACCCACACGCCUUCAUCGGCACCGCACCCAUCAACCUCACGGAGAGGCUCUUCCAGGUGCUCCGCUGGUCCACGGGCUCCCUCGAGAUCUUCUUCUCCAAGAACAACCCGCUCUUCGGCAGCACCUACCUCCACCCGCUGCAGCGCGUCGCCUACAUCAACAUCACCACCUACCCCUUCACCGCCAUCUUCCUCAUCUUCUACACCACCGUGCCGGCGCUCUCCUUCGUCACCGGCCACUUCAUCGUGCAACGCCCCACCACCAUGUUCUACGUCUACCUGGGCAUCGUGCUCUCCACGCUGCUCGUCAUCGCCGUGCUGGAGGUCAAGUGGGCCGGGGUCACCGUCUUCGAGUGGUUCAGGAACGGCCAGUUCUGGAUGACGGCAAGUUGCUCCGCCUACCUCGCCGCCGUGUGCCAGGUGCUGACCAAGGUGAUAUUCCGGCGUGACAUCUCCUUCAAGCUCACAUCCAAGCUACCGUCCGGAGACGAGAAGAAGGACCCCUACGCCGACCUGUACGUGGUGCGCUGGACGCCGCUCAUGAUCACACCCAUCAUCAUCAUUUUCGUCAACAUCAUUGGGUCGGCGGUGGCCUUCGCCAAGGUGCUCGACGGCGAGUGGACGCACUGGCUCAAGGUCGCCGGCGGGGUCUUCUUCAACUUCUGGGUGCUGUUCCACCUCUACCCGUUCGCCAAGGGGAUCCUGGGGAAGCACGGCAAGACGCCAGUCGUGGUGCUCGUCUGGUGGGCAUUCACCUUCGUCAUCACCGCCGUGCUCUACAUCAACAUCCCCCACAUGCAUAGCUCGGGAGGCAAGCACACAACGGUGCAUGGUCACCAUGGCAAGAAGUUCGUCGACGCAGGGUACUACAACUGGCCAUGA